AUGUGCGGGCCCCCAGGAGCCCCUGUGCUCAGAGGCUGGGCGCACGGUUCCCAGAUGUCACUGAUGUCCCUGUGCUCACGGGAGCCCGCCCACGGCCAUGCACAGCUGUGGUCCAGGCACUGGAGACAACCAGGGGCGGGCGCAAGUCCCAGAGCCCGUGCCCAGCCUACGCUUGUACCACCACGGACAGCGGCUGUGAAGCCCCGGGCCGGAGAAGCGCCAGGCUCCCGUCUCACGCAGAAACCCGGCUCGUGGCCUCAGUGGUCUCUGCAGGCAAUGGGCGGUAGGAGACUCCGCCUCUGCCCCUCUGCAGCGCCCCGCCUCCCCUUCCCGACCGGCCCCGCCCCCGGGUCGCGUGACGCGCAGGGGUUCUCCCGUUCCCCUGCCGUGAUGUCACCGCGGCGAGCGGGCCAAUGGGCGCGCAGACCGGCGGCGCCUGGGAAUUCCGCCGCCCCGCCCCCAGCCCCGCCUGACAACCCGGCCCGGCGCCCCAAGCAGUCCCGGGCGCCGCGCGUCCUGUCCCGCCUGCGGCCCCAGCCCCUGCGCCGCUCGUCCGGGCCGCGAUCCUCCGCGGGACAGCUCGCGUGCGCGCUUGGGUCUGGGCCGGCCUCCGAGCCGCGCGUCCCUGCUGGCUGGGCCAUGUCGAGUAGCCAGGUCGCCAGACAGCCCGCUGCGCGGGAGCUGGGGCCCUGGGGUCUGCUGAUCUCUCCUCACUCGCUCUCAUGGUCUCCAGGACACAGGCCUCAGUGUUCCUCAUCUGCAGGAUGGGCAUGAUUGAGAACGCAGGGACCUGAGUAACUGUUCAAAGCAGUGUCCUGCGCACAGAGAGCCUCAGCGACCGUGAAGUGUUAUUGGCACAGUAAGUGAUUGCUAGUCUAAAACAGCUAUUUUUCUUAAGAGUUAAGUUUGUUUUCUUAUUUGAAAAGCCAAGAGAUAGAGCUCUUCCAUGCGCUCAUUCAGUCUCCAAAUGUUCAUGACAGCCAGGGCUGGGCUGGGUCAAACCUGCUUGGAGCUUCCACGUGGGUGGCAGAGACUCAGGGACUUGGGCCAUCCACUACUGCUUUCCCAGGCCACAGCAGAGAGCUGCAUCAGAAGUGGAGCAGCCAGGACUCGAAACGGUGCCCAUAUGGGAUGCCGGCACUGCAGGUGGUGGCUUCAUCUGCUGUGCCACAGCGCCAGCCCCACAAGUUUACAGUUUUAGCAAGUUUUCAAGAGGAGCUGAGAGCUGCUAGUCUGUGAGUUCCCUCAGCCUGUGCCGUCCAAGGCUGCCCAGGGAAAUGCAGAACCUUGGCCGGAUCGUGACGUCCUGUCUCAUAAAUUCGCUGGGCCUCAGAGGGCAGCGGGGGCCCUGUCGUCACGAGUGGCCAGUGGCCCCACGUGGAUGGGUCCCGGCUGGACUCAGAGUGCUGACUCUGUGAGCUGAUGUCUUAUCUUUUGAAAGGCAGAGCAAUAGGGGGAGAGAGAAAGAGAAAGGGAGAGAGGGAGGGAGAGAGAGAGGGGGAGAGAGAGGGAGAGACAGACAGGGAGAGGGGGAGAGAGAGAGACAGAGACAGGGAGAGGGAGAGAGAGAUAGAGAGGUAGAGGGAGAGACAGAAAGAGGGAGGAGAGAGAGAGACAGCCAGAGAGAGGGAGAGGGAGAGACAGAGAGAGGGAGAGAGACAGAGAGAGGCAAAGAGACAGAGAGAGGGAGUGGGAGAGGGAGAUGGAGAAGGAGAGGGAGAUAGUGAGAGGUCUUCCAUCCACUUCCCAAAUGGCUGCAACAGCCAGGGCUGGGCCAGGCCAAAGCCCAGAGCCAGGAGCUCCAUCUUGGUCUCCCAUGUGGGUGCUUGGGCCGUCUUCCACUGCCUUCCCAGGUGUUUUCACAGGGAGCUGGAUCAGAGUGGAGUGGCUGGGACUCCACCAGUACCGGGAUAUAGGGUGCUGUGCACCGGCCGUGGCUGAAGACGCUGGGCCAUGGGGCCAGCUCCUAGCGAUGCAGCCCGGAACCUUCUGCAGGGCCUUGGGUUUCCAGGUUCCCCCAGCACAGGUGCCCAGGAAGGAUUUUCUAGGUCGAAGUGACCUGACCUGGACCGUGCCAGUGACCUCACGCAAGCCCAGCCUCAGGUUCCCCAAAUGCCGGAGGGGGCUUGGCACCCCUCCUGACUGCACCGAUGGCCCAAGAUAAGGGUGCAGGGAAGCUGCCUCCCCCAGAGCAAAGGUCCGGCUGCCAGGAGCCACACCCCGGGCGCAGGCAGGCUGGGGAAGGUGUGUUUUAGUCUUCCUCUUCUCCUCCUCCCUCUCCUCCUCCCCUCCUCCUCUUCCCCCUGCAGUACAUUCAAUAAUUUGAAGCACAGUCAAUAAUUAAUAAAACAUAUUUCUGGCUAUUGCA
This 2368-nucleotide long non-coding RNA is filed under the name Oryctolagus cuniculus (rabbit). Its description in RNAcentral is "lncRNA (ENSOCUG00000038389.1)". The record is from RNAcentral. Lineage: Eukaryota; Metazoa; Chordata; Mammalia; Lagomorpha; Leporidae.